GUGUAGUAUCUGUUCUUAUCAGCUUAAUAUCUGAUACGUCCCCUACACGGGGACCAGAAUAUUAAACUGAUUUUUGGACUUUGGCGGGGUUUCUGGAGCUUGCUCCUGCCCUGCCGCGGGUUGGC
This 125-nucleotide small nuclear RNA is filed under the name Balanus balanus. Its description in RNAcentral is "U2 small nuclear RNA". It matches the Rfam family "U2 spliceosomal RNA", at positions 31 to 155 of the family's 192-position model. Rfam says of the family: U2 is a small nuclear RNA (snRNA) component of the spliceosome (involved in pre-mRNA splicing). Complementary binding between U2 snRNA (in an area lying towards the 5' end but 3' to hairpin I) and the branchpoint sequence (BPS) of the intron results the bulging out of an unpaired adenosine, on the BPS, which initiates a nucleophilic attack at the intronic 5' splice site, thus starting the first of two transesterification reactions that mediate splicing. The record is from RNAcentral. Lineage: Eukaryota; Metazoa; Arthropoda; Thecostraca; Balanomorpha; Balanidae.